UACGUAGGGGGCUAGCGUUGUCCGGAAUCAUUGGGCAUAAAGCGCGUGUAGGCGGUUCGGUAAGUCCGCUGUGAAAGUCGGGGGCUCAACCCUCGGAUGCCGGUGGAUACUGUCGAGCUUGAGUACGGAAGAGGCGAGUGGAAUUCCUGGUGUAGCGGUGAAAUGCGCAGAUAUCAGGAGGAACACCAAUUGCGAAGGCAGCUCGCUGGGACGUUACUGACGCUGAGACGCGAAAGCGUGGGGAGCAAACAGG
Molecule: ribosomal RNA, 253 nt
Filed under: uncultured bacterium
Lineage: Bacteria
Description: partial 16S ribosomal RNA
Rfam family: Bacterial small subunit ribosomal RNA
Source: RNAcentral